AUGAGCUGGAACGUACGCGGCCUGAACUCGCCGACGAAGGGAGAAGCUGUUAGAGAAGUAGUUGCUGCACAUCGCGCGACCAUUCUGUGCAUGCAAGAGACCAAGAUAGAUGUUUGGUCGCCAGCCCUCGUCCGCGACAUUGGUGGCCCAACGCUGCAAGGAUGUGCGGUCAUGCCCGCCAUCGGCACCCGCGGUGGCAUUGCCAUUCUAUGGAACCGAGACCUAGUAGAUGUCGUCACCCACGCCGUUGGCCAAUUUGCAAUCACGGUCAGGAUCACCAUA
RNAcentral lists this ribosomal RNA (282 nucleotides) under Triticum aestivum (bread wheat). RNAcentral describes it as "partial small subunit ribosomal RNA". Lineage: Eukaryota; Viridiplantae; Streptophyta; Magnoliopsida; Poales; Poaceae. The record is from RNAcentral.